UCAUUAGUGUGUGUGUAUGCGUGUGUGUUUGUGUGUGUGUGUGUGUGUGUGUCACACACACACACACACACACAUACACACACACACACACACACACACACACACACACACACACAUGGAAACAAGGAACCUCUCUGAUUUCACACAAAA
Small nucleolar RNA from Clarias gariepinus (North African catfish), 150 nucleotides. RefSeq annotates it as small nucleolar RNA SNORA23. The record is from RefSeq and is a predicted model, not a curated record. NCBI's taxonomy places the organism in Eukaryota, Metazoa, Chordata, Actinopteri, Siluriformes, Clariidae. The transcript has a single exon.